RNAcentral lists this ribosomal RNA (53 nucleotides) under Afzelia africana. RNAcentral describes it as "partial 5.8S ribosomal RNA". The record is from RNAcentral. Lineage: Eukaryota; Viridiplantae; Streptophyta; Magnoliopsida; Fabales; Fabaceae.
GCAAGUUGCACCNGAACCCAAUAGGUUGGGGGCACGUCUAGCUGGGUGUCACA